Small nucleolar RNA from Bombina bombina (fire-bellied toad), 70 nucleotides. RefSeq annotates it as small nucleolar RNA SNORD30. NCBI's taxonomy places the organism in Eukaryota, Metazoa, Chordata, Amphibia, Anura, Bombinatoridae. The transcript has a single exon. The record is from RefSeq and is a predicted model, not a curated record.
UGACAUGAUGAUCAUCUCUUGGAAUCUCGUUCGGCUGAAUGUUUCUGUUGAGAAUUAAUUACUGAAGUCA